UACGAAGGGGGCUAGCGUUGUUCGGAAUUACUGGGCGUAAAGGGCGCGUAGGCGGCCUUGUCAGUCAGAUGUGAAAGCCCCGGGCUCAACCUGGGAACCGCAUUUGAUACUGCAAGGCUCGAGUUCCGGAGAGGAUGGUGGAAUUCCCAGUGUAGAGGUGAAAUUCGUAGAUAUUGGGAAGAACACCCGUGGCUAAGGCGGCUCUCUAGUACGGUACUGACGCUGAGACGCGAAAGCGUGGGGAGCGAACAGG
Molecule: ribosomal RNA, 253 nt
Filed under: uncultured bacterium
Lineage: Bacteria
Description: partial 16S ribosomal RNA
Rfam family: Bacterial small subunit ribosomal RNA
Source: RNAcentral